UCCUACGGGAGGCAGCAGUAAGGAAUAUUGGGCAAUGGACGAAAGUCUGACCCAGCCAUGCCGCGUGCAGGAUGACUGCCCUAUGGGUUGUAAACUGCUUUUGUACAGGAAAAAACUUCAGGUCGUGUACCUGGACUGAUGGUACUGUACGAAUAAGCAUCGGCUAACUCCGUGCCAGCAGCCGCGGUAAUACGGAGGAUGCAAGCGUUAUCCGGAUUUAUUGGGUUUAAAGGGUGCGCAGGCGGAAUGGUAAGUCAGUGGUGAAAUCUCCCGGCUCAACCGGGAAACUGCCAUUGAUACUGCUGUUCUUGAGUACAGUUGAAGUGGGCGGAAUGUGUCAUGUAGCGGUGAAGUGCUUAGAUAUGACACAGAACACCGAUAGCGUAGGCAGCUCACUAAGCUGUAACUGACGCUCAUGCACGAAAGCGUGGGGAUCAAACAGGAUUAGAUACCCUGGUAGUCCACGCUGUAAACGAUGAUCACUCGUUGUUGGCGAUAUACUGUCAGCGACUGAGCGAAAGCAUUAAGUGAUCCACCUGGGGAGUACGGCGGCAACGUUGAAACUCAAAUGAAUUGACGG
RNAcentral lists this ribosomal RNA (580 nucleotides) under uncultured bacterium. RNAcentral's name for it is "bacterial SSU rRNA". It matches the Rfam family "Bacterial small subunit ribosomal RNA", at positions 337 to 916 of the family's 1533-position model. The record is from RNAcentral.